AACGAACGCUGGCGGCAUGCCUAACACAUGCAAGUCGAACGAGACCUUCGGGUCUAGUGGCGCACGGGUGCGUAACGCGUGGGAACCUGCCCUUAGGUUCGGAAUAACUCCCCGAAAGGGGUGCUAAUACCGGAUAAUGUCUUCGGACCAAAGAUUUAUCGACUUUGGAUGGGCCCGCGUUGGAUUAGCUAGUUGGUAGGGUAAAAGCCUACCAAGGCGACGAUCCAUAGCUGGUCUGAGAGGAUGAUCAGCCACACUGGGACUGAGACACGGCCCAGACUCCUACGGGAGGCAGCAGUGGGGAAUAUUGGACAAUGGGGGAAAGCCUGAUCCAGCAAUGCCGCGUGAGUGAUGAAGGCCUUAGGGUUGUAAAGCUCUUUUACCCGGGAUGAUAAUGACAGUACCGGGAGAAUAAGCUCCGGCUAACUCCGUG
RNAcentral lists this ribosomal RNA (433 nucleotides) under uncultured bacterium. RNAcentral describes it as "partial 16S ribosomal RNA". It matches the Rfam family "Bacterial small subunit ribosomal RNA", at positions 29 to 507 of the family's 1533-position model. The record is from RNAcentral.